GGUUCCAUGGUAUAGCAGUUAGCACGCCUGCUUUACACGCAGAAAGUCUUGAAUUCACGCCCCAGUGGAGCCA
RNAcentral lists this transfer RNA (73 nucleotides) under Pteropus alecto (black flying fox). It matches the Rfam family "tRNA". Rfam says of the family: Transfer RNA (tRNA) molecules are approximately 80 nucleotides in length. Their secondary structure includes four short double-helical elements and three loops (D, anti-codon, and T loops). Lineage: Eukaryota; Metazoa; Chordata; Mammalia; Chiroptera; Pteropodidae. The record is from Rfam by way of RNAcentral.